This 345-nucleotide ribosomal RNA is filed under the name fungal sp. RNAcentral's name for it is "partial small subunit ribosomal RNA". The stretch from base 231 to 345 matches the Rfam family "Eukaryotic small subunit ribosomal RNA", at positions 1667 to 1779 of the family's 1831-position model. Lineage: Eukaryota; Fungi. The record is from RNAcentral.
UGUACGAGGGGCUGAGUGAGAAUGAUUUUCUCUAGUUAAUAAUAAAAUCAUUAUUAGCUAUGUCUUUUACUUGCAUGGAAAAUUGGCCGGUAUAGGCUGUUUUACCUGCAGCUAUAUCUGCACAUCAGAUAUAGUUCACAGACUAUGUAAAGACAGGCUCCCUAUUAUACGUAGGGGGUUGAAGAUAUAGUCGGUCUCCCCUAUAAGUAGGAUGAGAGAAACGUUGUACACACCGCCCGUCGCUACUACCGAUUGAAUGGCUCAGUGAGGCCUUGGGACUGGCUCAGAGAGGUUGGCAACGACCACUCAGAGCCGGAAACUCGAUCAAACUUGGUCAUUUAGAGG